Molecule: non-coding RNA, 28 nt
Filed under: Homo sapiens (human)
Lineage: Eukaryota; Metazoa; Chordata; Mammalia; Primates; Hominidae
Source: RNAcentral
UUAAAAGAGAGGGUGGCUACAUAAGCAU